This 516-nucleotide ribosomal RNA is filed under the name uncultured bacterium. RNAcentral describes it as "bacterial SSU rRNA". It matches the Rfam family "Bacterial small subunit ribosomal RNA", at positions 35 to 550 of the family's 1533-position model. The record is from RNAcentral.
GCUGGCGGAAUGCUUACACAUGCAAGUCGAGCGGCAGCGCGGGGCAACCUGGCGGCGAGCGGCGAACGGGUGAGUAAUCAUCGGAACGUACCCAGUUGUGGGGGAUAGCCCGGCGAAAGCCGGAUUAAUACCGCAUACGACCUGAGGGUGAAAGGGGGGGAUCGCAAGACCUCUCGCAGUUGGAGCGGCCGAUGGCGGAUUAGCUAGUUGGUGAGGUAAAGGCUCACCAAGGCGACGAUCCGUAGCUGGUCUGAGAGGACGACCAGCCACACUGGAACUGAGACACGGUCCAGACUCCUACGGGAGGCAGCAGUGGGGAAUUUUGGACAAUGGGGGCAACCCUGAUCCAGCCAUUCCGCGUGAGUGAAGAAGGCCUUCGGGUUGUAAAGCUCUUUCGGCAGGAACGAAACGGUGGUCCCUAAUACGGAUUGCUAAUGACGGUACCUGAAGAAGAAGCACCGGCUAACUACGUGCCAGCAGCCGCGGUAAUACGUAGGGUGCGAGCGUUAAUCGGAA